GACGAACGCUGGCGGCGUGCCUAACGCAUGCAAGUCGAGCGAGGGGAGGUCGCAAGACCGAACCUAGCGGCGAACGGGUGAGUAACACGUGGGUAAUCUGCCUAUGAGACGGGGAUAGCCCCGGGAAACUGGGGAUAAUACCGGAUGUGAUCCAGCUGACGGAGGUUAGCUGGAGGAAAUGGCGCAAGCCGCUCAUAGAUGAGCCCGCGGCCCAUUAGCUAGUUGGUAGGGUAAAGGCCUACCAAGGCGACGAUGGGGUAGCCGGUCUGAGAGGGAUCGGCCGGCCACACGUGGGACUGAGACACGGCCCAGACUCCGUACGGGUGCAG
RNAcentral lists this ribosomal RNA (329 nucleotides) under uncultured Bacillota bacterium. RNAcentral's name for it is "bacterial SSU rRNA". It matches the Rfam family "Bacterial small subunit ribosomal RNA", at positions 28 to 351 of the family's 1533-position model. Lineage: Bacteria; Bacillati; Bacillota. The record is from RNAcentral.